GGUGGCGGACGGGUGAGUAACGCGUAAAGAACUUGCCUCACAGCUAGGGACAACAUUUGGAAACGAAUGCUAAUACCUGAUAUUAUGAUUUUAGGGCACCCUAGGAUUACGAAAGCUAUAUGCGCUGUGAGAGAGCUUUGCGUCCCAUUAGCUAGUUGGAGAGGUAACGGCUCACCAAGGCGAUGAUGGGUAGCCGGCCUGAGAGGGUGAUCGGCCACAAGGGGACUGAGACACGGCCCUUACUCCUACGGGAGGCAGCAGUGGGGAAUAUUGGACAAUGGACCAAGAGUCUGAUCCAGCAAUUCUGUGUGCACGAUGAAGUUUUUCGGAAUGUAAAGUGCUUUCAGUUGGGAAGAAAAAAAUGACGGUACCAACAGAAGAAGUGACGGCUAAAUACGUGCCAGCAGCCGCGGUAAUACGUAUGUCACAAGCGUUAUCCGGAUUUAUUGGGCGUAAAGCGCGUCUAGGUGGUUAUGUAAGUCUGAUGUGAAAAUGCAGGGCUCAACUCUGUAUUGCGUUGGAAACUGCGUAACUAGAGUACUGGAGAGGUAAGCGGAACUACAAGUGUAGAGGUGAAAUUCGUAGAUAUUUGUAGGAAUGCCGAUGGGGAAGCCAGCUUACUGGACAGAUACUGACGCUGAAGCGCGAAAGCGUGGGUAGCAAACAGGAUUAGAUACCCUGGUAGUCCACGCCGUAAACGAUGAUUACUAGGUGUUGGGGGUCGAACCUCAGCG
RNAcentral lists this ribosomal RNA (734 nucleotides) under uncultured Fusobacterium sp. RNAcentral describes it as "bacterial SSU rRNA". It matches the Rfam family "Bacterial small subunit ribosomal RNA", at positions 94 to 845 of the family's 1533-position model. Lineage: Bacteria; Fusobacteriati; Fusobacteriota; Fusobacteriia; Fusobacteriales; Fusobacteriaceae. The record is from RNAcentral.